AGGAUGCCGUUAGCAGAAAAAUCAGUCUAGACGCUGUUGUGGAUUUUGCAUUGGCACAAGGAUCACAGUGGAUAUUUAUUACCCCUCAUGACAUCAGUAUGGUGAAGCAGGACGAGAGGGUAAAGAAGCAGCAAAUGGCGGCUCCUCGUGCCUGAUUCGUUUUGCAUUUUAUUUUGUGGGAGAUGGUUAUUUUUUGGGGAUUUCAGGUGGGCGUGAAGAAGAGUUCGCUAGUGAAAGAGGUCUUGUUUUACUAGUCUUUGGCUCAACAUGUCCUAAAUGAUUUCACAGUUAAAUCAUUAGAAAUUCUAGUGAUAUAUAAAACUAGAAGGUGAGUUUAUAAAUUUAAUGUGUUCUAUGUCUAGUCUUGUUUCCAAUUUUCUUAUUGAGGUACCAUUGGUGCUUCUAAAUACCGUAGAACAAAGCCAAGCUUACACUGUCCUAUGUAUAUAAAGUCUUUUAGCAUGUUUCAACAUUUGCUAUAUGAAAGUAUCAUGCAACCUAAAUCA
Non-coding RNA from Nicotiana tabacum (common tobacco), 506 nucleotides. The record is from RefSeq and is a predicted model, not a curated record. NCBI's taxonomy places the organism in Eukaryota, Viridiplantae, Streptophyta, Magnoliopsida, Solanales, Solanaceae.